GGGGCUGCACCGGUUUCGACGUGGGUUCGGACCCGCAGCAGGGCAUGUCGAGGCUCAGUUCCCUCGUUAAUCCAGCUGAAACAAACCAACUGCGAACGACGAACGUUUCGCCCUCGCCGCUUAAUUGCCGGUGAGCCUUGCAACGGUUGGCCGAUGGGCCGGGCUGAAGGCGCAAGCUGACAGCUGCAAGGGAACCUUACAUUGGCUGGCUUCCGGGCGGGUGCCUUGGCCGGAAGCGAGACUCAAGGGCACUGGCUGACCGGGUAGCGUGCGACUGCGCGACCCAGCCGGCGAGACUCAAAUCAGAUCGCUAAACAUGUAGAACUGCACGGAAAAGGCUUGCGGACGCGGGUUCGACUCCCGCCAGCUCCACCA
This 375-nucleotide transfer-messenger RNA is filed under the name Burkholderiales bacterium. It matches the Rfam family "transfer-messenger RNA". From Rfam's summary of the family: Bacterial tmRNA, also known as 10Sa RNA or SsrA, is named for its dual tRNA and mRNA-like properties. Its role is to liberate the mRNA from a stalled ribosome. The record is from RNAcentral. Lineage: Bacteria; Pseudomonadati; Pseudomonadota; Betaproteobacteria; Burkholderiales.